AUGGCUUCUGCUUUGGGGGAGUUGCAGAAAGACCUAGAAGAGGUCAAAGUAUUGCUGGAAAAGUCCAUUAGGAAAAGACUACGCGAUACUCUUAAAAGUGAAAAGUCCAAAAUUGAGACAGAACUAAAGAACAAGGUGCAACAGAAGUUGCAGAAGAAACCAGAACUUGAUAGUGAGAAGCCGGCUGCUGUGGGUGCACCUCUUACAGCAGGAUACACUGUGCAAAUCAGUAACUGUGGAUGGGAUCAGUCAGAUAAAUUUGUGAAAAUCUACAUCACCUUAACUGAAGUUCGUCAGGUUCCCACUGAGAAUGUGCAGGUGCAAUUCACAGAGAUCUUUUCAUAAAAAAACUCAAAGGAAAGAAUUACUCCAUGAUUGUGAACAAUCUUUUGAAACCUAUCUCUGUGGAAAGCAAAAAAAAAGACAAGACUGAUACAGUUAUUAUCCUAUGUAAAAGGAAAGCAGAAAACACAAGAUGGGACUACUUAACUCUGGGGGAAAAAGAAUUCGAAGAGAAAGAAAAGCCUUCCUAGGACACUGAGGCAGACCCUAGUGAGGGAUUAAUAGAUGUUCUAAAGAAAAUUUAUGAAAACGGAGACAUAAAGCGAACCAUUAAUAAAGUGUGGGUGGAAUCCAGAGAGAAGCAAGCCAGAAAGGACAGAAUUUUGAGGCUUUUAAAAGUCCUUAUGGGAACUGUGAUGUGGAGUGCUCAUGUUUCCAGUAAGGGAAACAUAUUUGUUCUUAGCCCUGUGGCUGUGCAGGUACAGGGAUGGAGACACAUUCCAGGAAGUGACAUGUUUCCUGCUCUGAGUUGCUGGUGGAAGUUCAUGAUGAGGCCCCUCCUGGUGCUGUUGCUGCUGGCUGUUGUAUGUACUUCUCUGGCCCGGGCCCUGCACUGUCAUGUGUGCUGUGGGCACGAGAACUGCGAGUCUCUCGUGGAGUGCGCCUUGACGGACAAGUACUGUGUGAUCACUCGGGCCACCAAACCUGGUGGCAUCCUGGUCAUGAAGUCCUGUGCCCCAACCUGCCCCAACAACACCGUGUCUUCAGAUGGCCAUGCCUUCUCUGUCUCCUGCUGUCAGGGCAGCCAGUGCAACUUCAGUGCUGCCUCAGGUCUGACCGGCAGCCUUGGGGCUAUAUGGGCCAGCGCCUCUAUCAGCCUACUGUGGGCACUGCUUCAAGCUGCCUGAUGAGGGCCUGGGUGGCCUUUCCAUAUCAUCGGAGAUCUGUCUGCAGCCUUGGCAGCAUCCUACCCCAACCCAGCCCGGGCUGUUACUUUCUUUCACCAUUAACCCCAAGACACAUUCACUCUUCCCUUCUCACACAGAAAGGAAGUAAGGACACCUGUCCCAAAGGCUCCUGCCCCAGAGCCCAGCUCUCUUGCCUCAGGAAAUUCUCCAACAGGGCACAGGGACACACCUUCCCAAGAUCGUCACCUCUAUAAGACCUCAGCCUUUUAUUGAGUCCUGGGAGUGCCUAGCUACCUCCAGUAGGAAGAGCUGAUGUUUUUGUCCAACUCCUUCCACCCUCAACCUUAGGCUUAGCAUUUGUACUACCUUCUCCUUGCCUGAAAGGAUGCUAUAUAUGGCCAUCUGGAUCCCUGGCCCCCCCUUCUAUGUGUGAAGUGACCCUGGCAUAUGGCAUGAUUGUAAGAUUUGGGCACUGUCUAACUGAACAUCAGCUUUUAAGAGAUCCCCUGACUUCCCACCGUGUGUGUCUGUGUGUAGGGAUAAGGCAGAUCACCUUGGGCUUGAUGUCAGGUGUUGGAAUGCGUAUCCAUCCUCCUUGGGCAUGGGGAAACCUGCUUUGUCUCCCUGGAAGCAUCAUCUUGCCAGCACCUUCCCGGAUGCUAUCCUAGGAGAAGAAUAAAUGUGCAAGUCUGCUUGGUCCAAGGUGUUGUGUCUUGGGCAUUUCUGAAUCUUGGUCAACCACAUCCUCAGAGACAGGCAGGUGGACUUGAGACAGGGCCAGGUGGAGUUCUUAAUGUACAAAUAAGCCCAGGUGCAGGAAUGGUGCCUCUGCCUUGGACUCAGGCCUUCUGUGUCUGUAUUGGGUCCCAUUGGCCAAAAUAGAGGAAACAGACUUCUACCACACCCCAACUUACAAGGGUUCCCUGAGAGCUCUUCUGAGCUACAGUGUCUCUAGUGCUCCUACUGGUGAGAUGAUCGCAUCCGUCACAGUGUCCCUGGGUCCCCAAAAGUCCAUAUUUUUGGGUUGGUGGCACGGCAAACCCUCAGCUUUCUGAACAGUCACCAGUACUCUGAGGCCACCCAAAACCAUUUCUCCUUGUGGGCUCUUCUUGAGGGGCAAAGCCAGAGCCCCUCAAGUCUGGAGAGCUUUAUUCCCUACCCCUGUUGUCUUUCCCUGUCACUGUAAUAAAACACUCUGACAAAA
Grammomys surdaster is the source of this 2394-nucleotide RNA transcript. It is a transcript of the gene named calcyclin-binding protein-like, with no coding region annotated. The transcript is spliced from 6 exons. The record is from RefSeq and is a predicted model, not a curated record. NCBI's taxonomy places the organism in Eukaryota, Metazoa, Chordata, Mammalia, Rodentia, Muridae.